Molecule: ribosomal RNA, 254 nt
Filed under: uncultured bacterium
Lineage: Bacteria
Description: partial 16S ribosomal RNA
Rfam family: Bacterial small subunit ribosomal RNA
Source: RNAcentral
UACAGAGGUCUCAAGCGUUGUUCGGAUUCAUUGGGCGUAAAGAGCUCGUAGGUGGUUCGGUAAGUCGGAUGUGAAAUCUCCAGGCUCAACCUGGAGGGGUCAUUCGAUACUGCCGUGACUAGAGGUCGGUAGGGGAGUGUGGAAUUCCUGGUGGAGCGGUGAAAUGCGCAGAUAUCAGGAGGAACACCCGUAGCGAAGGCGGCACUCUGGGCCGAGAUUGACGCUGAUGCGCGAAAGCCAGGGGAGCAAACGGG